Molecule: ribosomal RNA, 515 nt
Filed under: uncultured Glomus
Lineage: Eukaryota; Fungi; Glomeromycota; Glomeromycetes; Glomerales; Glomeraceae
Description: SSU rRNA
Rfam family: Eukaryotic small subunit ribosomal RNA
Source: RNAcentral
AUUCCGCUCCAUAGCGUAUAUUAAAGUUGUUGCAGUUAAAAAGCUCGUAGUUGAAUUUCGGGGUUAGUAGGUUGGUCAUGCCUCUGGUAUGUACUGGUCUCACUGAUUCCUCCUUCCUGAUGAGCCGUAAUGCCAUUAAUUUGGUGUUGCGGGGAAUUUGGACUGUUACUUUGAAAAAAUUAGAGUGUUUAAAGCAAGCUAACGCUUGAAUACAUUAGCAUGGAAUAAUGAAAUAGGACGUUCGAUCCUAUUUUGUUGGUUUCUAGGAUUGACGUAAUGAUUAAUAGGGAUAGUUGGGGGCAUUAGUAUUCAAUUGUCAGAGGUGAAAUUCUUGGAUUUAUUGAAGACUAACUACUGCGAAAGCAUUUGCCAAGGAUGUUUUCAUUAAUCAAGAACGAAAGUUAGGGGAUCGAAGACGAUCAGAUACCGUCGUAGUCUUAACCAUAAACUAUGCCGACUAGGGAUCGGAUGAUGUUAAUUUUUUAAUGACUCAUUCGGCGCCUUACGGGGAAACA